GUGGGGAAUAUUGGACAAUGGGCGAAAGCCUGAUCCAGCCAUGCCGCGUGUGUGAAGAAGGUCUUCGGAUUGUAAAGCACUUUAAGUUGGGAGGAAGGGCAUUAACCUAAUACGUUAGUGUUUUGACGUUACCGACAGAAUAAGCACCGGCUAACUUCGUGCCAGCAGCCGCGGUAAUACGAAGGGUGCAAGCGUUAAUCGGAAUUACUGGGCGUAAAGCGCGCGUAGGUGGUUCGUUAAGUUGGAUGUGAAAGCCCCGGGCUCAACCUGGGAACUGCAUCCAAAACUGGCGAGCUAGAGUACGGUAGAGGGUGGUGGAAUUUCCUGUGGAGCGGUGAAAUGCGUAGAUAUAGGAAGGAACACCAGUGGCGAAGGCGACCACCUGGACUGAUACUGACACUGAGGUGCGAAAGCGUGGGGAGCAAACAGGAUUAGAAACCCCGGUAGUCC
This 450-nucleotide ribosomal RNA is filed under the name uncultured bacterium. RNAcentral's name for it is "partial 16S ribosomal RNA". It matches the Rfam family "Bacterial small subunit ribosomal RNA", at positions 354 to 796 of the family's 1533-position model. The record is from RNAcentral.